UAGUGUAUUGGACUACCAUGGCUAUCACGGGUAACGGAGAAUUAGGGUUCGAUUCCGGAGAGGGAGCCUGAGAAAUGGCUACCACAUCUAAGGAUGGCAGCAGGCGCGAAAAUUGCCCAAUCCCGAUUCGGGGAGGCAGUGACAAGAAAUAACAACCCAGGACUAGUUCCAGGGAUUGCAAUGAGAACAACUUAAAAACCUUAUCGAGCAACAACUGGAGGGCAAGUUCUGGUGCCAGCAGCCGCGGUAAUUCCAGCUCCAGUAGCGUAUAUUAAAGUUGCUGCAGUUAAAAAGCUGGUAGUUGAAUUUCUGCUUGUUAGAGUCAAGUUGGUAAGGACGAGAUUUCUUCGAGCAUCUGUUUGCAAACAUAUGUUCGGUCUUCAUUGAUUGACUAUGUGAGCAAACGUUUUACCUUGAGAAAAUUAGAGUGUUCCAGGCAGGCUUCGGCCGGAAUACAUUAGCAUGGAAUAAUGGAAUAGGACUGGGGACUAUUUUUGGUUUGAGGCUCCAGUAAUGAUUAAUAGGAACAGUCGGGGGCAUUAGUACUUGACAGUCAGAGGUGAAAUUCUUGGAUUUGUCAAAGACUAACUAAUGCGAAAGCAUUUGCCAAGCAGGUUUUCAUUAAUCAUGAACGAAAGUUAGGGGAUCAAAGACGAUC
This 658-nucleotide ribosomal RNA is filed under the name uncultured ciliate. RNAcentral describes it as "SSU rRNA". It matches the Rfam family "Eukaryotic small subunit ribosomal RNA", at positions 329 to 1009 of the family's 1831-position model. Lineage: Eukaryota; Ciliophora. The record is from RNAcentral.